AUUCCAGACUGAGCUCGUCUACGCGUUGCAGGGUUUGGGGGGCAUUUUGUUGGGGGUGCAGGGCAUUUAGUUUUCUUUACCACGAAAUCAUGGUGCAACUAAUGAAAUUAUAUUUGUCCUCACAUCUCGUUGUUCUACUUUUCCCCACUGCAAGUCUUAACCCCUUGAGGAAAAAUCUGUUUUCUUUCAUCCGUUUCAUAAAAGGCUGCAAUAUUCAGAAAGGUACAAACACAAAGUCAUCUAUCUGCUUUUCAACAAAUACCAAGGCUGUCAUUAGGCAUUUGCAUCUCCUAUCAGUGUUAACACUUGGAGAGAUUAAUUAGUUAUUUCAGGAUGCAAAGUACCUGUAUCUAACUACGAAAAUCCUGCUAAAGAACUGAGUUCACCUUAAUAGUUUCAAAAAUAAUGCAUUAAUACUGUCCCUCAAAGCAUCCUUCAUUUCUCACUUGCCUUAGUCAUCAGCACUUCUCCAGGAUGUACGUUUUUAAUAUAAAAAAUAAGGUAAAAUAUGUCUCUAAUUUUUUUUCUGAAAAAUCGCCAACAUCUGAACUAAAUACUGCAUUAAAAAGGAGAGGCACAAAAAUUACAUAACCAGUUUUAACAUUAUAUUCUUCUUGGGCUAGGAAUUAAGUCAUCGCCACCACCUGACGCGUGUAACCAAUCUGCUGAGAGCAGAACAAGCGCCCCUCCUCACCACCCCCCAGAACUGGUCCGAAACAGGAUUGAACCGCUUCUAACAAAGGGUGGAAACUUAGAAAAACAAGCCUAGAGUCUCCUAUAUUUCCACAAUGUAACCAUUUAAACAAUAGAUUGGAAAUCUCAGGACUCCUUCUCCUUUUGACAACCCUUUAUCUCUCUCUUCUAACCAAAAAUCAAAUCCAGUGUGCCCUAUACUUUUCAAUUCCAUUUGACUGGCAUGGGUUUCAUUGAAUGCACGUUCCAAAGUUAGACAUGAUGCUCGGAAAAGAAAAUUACUGAUCCUAAAUGGCUUCUAAACCUGACUCGAUACCUAUCAUAAUGACAGAUAGUCAUUCCUUUAAAAUAAGGAAUGCUGGGUGUAAAUUUUUAAAGGAAUGGUAAAGAAUAGAGAAAAAACACGUGGGGUGUUGAUACCAUAUGUCAAAAUAAGCCACAGAAAUCUUUUAUGAAAGAACAGUCAUCAAUUAUUUAAAGUCUUUUGCAUUCCAAUAUUAAAAAUGAAACACACCCAUUAAGUCUCUUAAAAAUGUUAUUACAUUUCUUGAUCGAAGUUCAGUUUUUACAUCUUAGGUUGCAAGUAAAAGGGCAAAAAUCUAAGACUGCAGCUUUUACCAAUUCAUUUGAAAAUAUAUUAGUAAAACGACUGAAUUGGAUUCAAACAGAAUUUAUAAGUAAGGUGCAAAUGGACUACAAGUGCGUGUGGCACAGACCGAGCCGGGUACAGAGGUAGCUGAAUAAGUGUAGUUUGCAGUCACUUUGCAGAUGCCUGCAUGCAUUACGGCUUAACACACGAUGAACGUCAAGGAGAAUCCAAACCUUCCAACUUUGCUAACCUUUCUCAAACUGCUUAGUUAUGCUAGGAGUAGAAUCACGUUAAUUCAGAAAACUGAAAAGGUACGUUUCCAAAGAAAAUGAGUCCAAUGACUUAUGAAUAACAAAAACUUACCUCUUUCGUGCCCAAUUAAGAUGUCUUUAUGGUUGAAAUACUCUACUUCUUCAGUGUAAUUCUGUGUAUAGGCAGUAUUGGAGCCGGCGUUUCUAGAUU
RNAcentral lists this long non-coding RNA (1744 nucleotides) under Homo sapiens (human). RNAcentral's name for it is "HSALNT0091350". Lineage: Eukaryota; Metazoa; Chordata; Mammalia; Primates; Hominidae. The record is from RNAcentral.